CAACUUCACGCAGGAGAAUUCAGUUGGACAGUCACCCUUAUCGAUGGCAAUACAAGGCAAGCUGACGCGCGAAUUCUUUUGUCGCUGCUUGCCAACAUGGCGGGCAGCAAUCCUCACC
Non-coding RNA from Pantoea dispersa, 118 nucleotides. The record is from Rfam. Lineage: Bacteria; Pseudomonadati; Pseudomonadota; Gammaproteobacteria; Enterobacterales; Erwiniaceae.